RNAcentral lists this long non-coding RNA (591 nucleotides) under Struthio camelus australis. RNAcentral's name for it is "lncRNA (ENSSCUG00000009253.1)". The record is from RNAcentral. Lineage: Eukaryota; Metazoa; Chordata; Aves; Struthioniformes; Struthionidae.
GCCAUAACUACAGAUUAAUGUGCUGGCUACUUCAUCUUUAUUCUGUCAUCUCUCUGCAGCUUUAUGGGGAAAGUAGGCUGACAUGGUUAUUAAAUCUGGCAGCUGUGUUGUAUGCACAUGGGAAGCAAGUAGAGCACAGCAUAUAGAAAACGAGUAGCUUUCAGACGACAGCCUCCUUUUCACUGCUACUAGGCUUGAAAGGCAGCCUAAAAAGCUCUUUCUCUUUGUAAUCAGCAGUCACUGGAUCAGCGAGCAAAUAUCACAAACACAUUGCAAAUUCAAUAUUCUGGGAUCACUCCUUCUCUCUCCUAAUUCCUUACAAGAAGAAUUAUGAAUCAAAUGAGAUCCCGCUGGCUCGCUCUGGACCAAGACCUUCAACUACUGCUCACCAACAGAGGGGACACAGCCUGCAGCCCAGUUCCUGUCCACCGUGAGGUCUUGAAGCUGGCUAACUUCUCUCUAGAUACUGGUACAAUAUGCAAGAAAAAGAACAAUAUUGACAGUGAGGAUUUUUUAUGGGGCAAUAUAUAAAGGUACUGUCUUCUGAGAGAGCCACCUGUAGGAAUACUUUUCCUCACAUUAAAGCCUUCC